Non-coding RNA from Paramuricea clavata, 541 nucleotides. The record is from the annotation of a GenBank genome assembly. NCBI's taxonomy places the organism in Eukaryota, Metazoa, Cnidaria, Anthozoa, Malacalcyonacea, Plexauridae.
CUCCGGCUCAUGGUAAUUACCACUGACCAGGCUCAAUUUUGAGCCCGCUACGACUUUCACACCCCCCUGGUUCUUAUUAAAAUAUUUUUGCUUGUUGAAGUAUUUGCAGUAUAUUCUCGUAGUUUUUGAUUUUUUUUUCAUAUUUUUUGUACCUUUGACCACUGGUUCAAAUGUGUGCAAGUCGUACACAUUAUAUUCUCGUCCUCAGAAGACAGAAAACCUCGAAAUACAUCCGCAAAGACGAUAUUUGAAGCCGCAACUACAGGUAAAAUAAUUCUCAGUUCAUAACUUCACACACUGAGUCACACUCGAGCAAAUUUUCUACAAAAAUUGUUGGGUUUAACUGUGGUACAAUGUAUUAUAUUUUAGCCACAAGUAUGUAAAGGUCUCUAAAGCCUUGUUGUACAAAGUAAUCAACUUUCGUUUCAUUUAAAUCGUGAGCAAAAUGGUUUUUGAUCUAUUGUUUAUUUGUUUACAUGCUCUAUUUGUUGCAUAUUUUAUGAUGUUUUGAAUAAGCCUGUUGUGCAGUUUGUAUUUCAUG